CACAAAUUGUUAGUCAAACUCCUGGUCUCUGAUUACAAGAUUGAAUGCAAGCAAGGUAAAACUAACAAGGUGGCAGAUGCUUUAUCAAGAGUUCAGCAUCCUGAACACCUUUUGGCUAUUACCCAUACUAUUCCAACUUGGAUUACAACAAUUUUGGAUACCUAUACAUCAGAUCAGAAAUGUUCAGAAAUGGUCACCACUCUUGCUCUGGACCCUCAAGCACUGCCAAACUUCACUUUGACUAAUGGCAUCCUUAGAUACAAAGGCAGAAUUGUUGUGGGAGCUGCACCUUCUCUCAAGAACAAAUUGAUUGCCACUUUUCAUCAUUCUCAAUUGGGAGGUCAUUCGGGGCAGAAGGCCACCUAUCAUCGUUUACAAUUGGUUUUCCACUGGCCAAAUAUGAAGCAAGAUGUUCAACAGUUUAUCAGACAGUGCCCUGUCUGUCAGAUUAACAAACCUGAGCAUUGUCCUUCACCAGGUUUACUUCAAACUCUGCCUAUCUCUGAAACUCCUUGGUCUCAAAUUUCUAUGGAUUUUAUUGAGGGUUUGCCCACUUCAGAACACAAAGAUAUCAUUUUGGUAGUAGUCGACAGAUUGACUAAAUAUGCUCAUUUCAUUUCUCUGAAGCAUCCCAUUACAGUGAAACAAGUCAUUACAGCUUUCACUGAUAACAUUUUUAAGUUACAUGGUCCACCUAGUGUCAUUGUUACUGAUAGAGACAGAAUAUUCACUAGUCAUUUGUGGCAGAACUUAUUCAAGUCUAUGGGAGUUGAACUGAAUAUCAAUACUGCCUAUCAUCCACAAACUGAUGGACAGACAGAGAGAGUUAAUCAAUGCCUGGAAAAUUAUCUGAGAUUUAUGGCAUUUGAUAGUCCCAAGAAAUGGCAUCAUUGGUUAUCCUUGGCUGAGUGGUGGUACAACUCAAGCUAUCACACAACAAUCAACACAACUCCCUAUCAAGCCUUGUAUGGCACACCCCCUCCAAUGAUUGCUGAGAAUACACUGCCUGCCUGUCCAAACGAAGAGGCCAAAUACUUACUGCAAGAUAGAGCUGCAGCUCUUCAGUUAAUCAAAGACAAUCUUCUCAAAGCUCAACAUAGAAUGAAGUACUAUGCUGAUCAACAUAGAGUAGAAAGAUCAUUGAACAUUGGGAACAUGGCCUAUUUGAAAGUGCAGCCAUACAUGCAUACCUCUGAGUAUUCAUCGUUCCUUGAAGUUGCAUUCCAAGUAUUAUGGACCUUUCAGAGUUCUAGAAAAGGUUGGGCAGCUGGCCUACAAACUGCUGUUACCAGACAGCUGUAAACUUCACCCUGUUUUUCAUGUGAGCCAGUUGAAACAACAUGUAGGACCUAAAGCUAUUGCCACUGCACAUCUACCAUUGAUUGAUGACAAUGGGAACAUUCAAGUUGGCCCGGAGGUUGUCCUGCAACGCCGUAUGGUUCCAAGACCUAUUGCUGACAACAUUAAUGUUGCUGUGGUCCAAUGGUUAGUCAAAUGGAUCAAUUUACCUCCUGACGCAGCUACAUGGGAAAAUGCAACAUUCAUGCAAAAAGUCUUUCCAGAUUUCAAUCCUUCGGGACAAGGAUUCUCUUCAGAAGGGGGCACUGUCAGGAUACACUACUCUGAAUGUCAUUCUUCAGUUAGCAAGUGUCUGGCAAGAAUCAUCUUCAGUUAUCUCUAGUGAGCGAACCGGUAUCUUACCGUCCAAGGGCUAUCCAACGGCGCAGAUUCAAUUACCGCUUCAAGACUUACUGUCGGAAAUCAACUUUUGCCGGUUGUUACUUUUCAGAUUCACCUUAACCUUUACUGCUUUCCUUAGUCCGCUACCCUGUUCAAACCAUUCAUUUUAUUUAAGAAAUUGGAAUGAGUGAGACUUUCCUUACAGCCCCAAUAUCUAGUUGCUCAUAAUUGUCCGUAACCGGGGACAUGGGCUAAGUACUUAGUUUGACACUCUCGAGACGUUGUACACAUUCCCCGCAAGAAAUCGACGUGUUAAUCCCUUGCUGUCCUCCUGGGGGAAUAGCAACGGCAUCGACUUCAAGAAUUUUCAGAACAUGUUUGCCCAGACCACCUGAGGGACCCGCGCUCCCACCUACACAACUACCUCAGUACAAUCCCUCGGAUCUAGGUUCACAUUUCUUAGUCCAUCCAGCCAGAGCCCAUUUAGCUUGUGGUUGUACUGGAAGCUACUAAACAGGAAACUAGUCCAGUCUCUGAUACCCCAGGUGGCAUUCCACAUUUGCGACGCAAGCGCUCCCCGAAUCCACGGAAGAGACGUCCAUGGACGAUCCAUCUCCGAAUCCACGGAGACUCGACUCAGAGGGACCCAUAGAAAUGGACCUGACGUCGCAUAACAUCUCAAAAUCUCAAAGCGGUCCACCCAGGAUGGUUCAUUAGGGUUGUUUUUGCCAAGUUUCCAAAAUUACUCCACAUCAUCAUUUCACAGUGAUUGAGAUUCCCUCCCACGUUUACUAACAUAGCUUGGCUAAGCAAUACUAAUCACGAUGGCUAUUGGUGGAGGAUUCAUGGCAAAGGUAACCCUAUAGCUAGUAGGUCAAAUCAUAGCUAGGAUAAGUACGAGUAAUAGUCCUAUCAAUGCAUUUCUACAAUCAACCCUAAGGCAUAAAUAUUUUAAAAACAAUAAUAAUAGGAUAUGAUCAAAGUGAACUUGCCUUGGUAGCAGUUGGAGUUCAAACACUCGUCACAAUCACAAGGUUCGCUCUCCAUGAAAA
Molecule: long non-coding RNA, 2732 nt
Filed under: Brachypodium distachyon (stiff brome)
Lineage: Eukaryota; Viridiplantae; Streptophyta; Magnoliopsida; Poales; Poaceae
Description: long non-coding RNA (BDIS_LNC003311)
Source: RNAcentral